UAUACUGUUGUGUGGAUAUUUUCUCCUCGGACCUUGAAAAUUGAUGGUGGGGAUACGCAAACUUCUCAACAGGCCGUACCAAUAUCCGCAGCAGGUCUCCAAGGUGAAGAGUCUCAAGUCGAUAGAAUAAUGUAGGUAAGGGAAGUCGGCAAAUUAGAUCCGUAACUUCGGGAUAAGGUUUGGCUCUGAAGAUUGAGAUAGUCGGGCUUGAAUGGGAAACAAUAAUAUAGUUUAUGUGCUCGUUCUGGGUAAAUAGAGUUUCGAUCAUUUAUGGUUGUAACUUGUUCCCCGGAUAGUUAGUUACGUAUCCAAUUGUGGAACUUUCUUGCUAAAAUUUUUAAGAAUACUAGUUGUGUCAAACCAAUUAGUUAUAACGAUUAUCAAUUAACAAUCAAUUCAGAACUGGCACGGACUUGGGGAAUCCGACUGUCUAAUUAAAACAAAGCAUUGUGAUGGCCCUAGCCGGUGUUGACACAAUGUGAUUUCUGCCCAGUGCUCUGAAUAUGUCUCUUAUAUACAUAUG
Molecule: long non-coding RNA, 523 nt
Organism: Drosophila ananassae
Lineage: Eukaryota; Metazoa; Arthropoda; Insecta; Diptera; Drosophilidae
Exons: 3
Source: RefSeq, a predicted model, not a curated record